ACUUUGCAGUCUGAGUAAACUUAAUUAAUAAAUUAAAACUUUUAACAACGGAUCUCUUGGUUCUGGCAUCGAUGAAGAACGCAGCGAAAUGCGAUAAGUAAUGUGAAUUGCAGAAUUCAGUGAAUCAUCGAAUCUUUGAACGCACAUUGCGCCCCCUGGUAUUCCGGGGGGCAUGCCUGUUCGAGCGUCAUU
This 192-nucleotide ribosomal RNA is filed under the name ascomycete sp. HK-S274. Its description in RNAcentral is "5.8S ribosomal RNA". The stretch from base 37 to 190 matches the Rfam family "5.8S ribosomal RNA". Rfam says of the family: 5.8S ribosomal RNA (5.8S rRNA) is a component of the large subunit of the eukaryotic ribosome. It is transcribed by RNA polymerase I as part of the 45S precursor that also contains 18S and 28S rRNA. Lineage: Eukaryota; Fungi; Ascomycota. The record is from RNAcentral. RNAcentral also lists the same sequence under 2 other names.